CCUGGAGCAAGCGUGUCCAUCUUAUGUGUCCUCCACACCUCCAAAUCCCCACGCUGGUGUUGUGGCACUCAUUCUAGCCUAAUUUCAUCCAUUAUUAUUUCCCUAUCUCAAGGAGAUAAAAACUGUUAAAAGGACCAUAAAACCACCAUCCCACCACAGAAUUCCAAAUAUCCCAUCGAUGUUCAAAUCUUCCUAAUUGCCUUAUAAAUUGCUUCAUGUUUUAAGUUUGCUUGCUGGAACCCGGCAGCGUCCGUGUGACCUUUACGACAUGACCUUUCUGUCUCCCUGACGCCGACGCUCUUUUCUUAGUUCAGCUGAAGAAUGGGCUUGUGUAUCCUGCACUCUGCCGACCGGUUCCCUGUGGUUUUGCGUGUUCUGCUCCAUCCUUUUGAGAGGUGGUCAGACCGAGGCCGCAUCAGGCUCCCCUGCAAUUCCGUUUGGCGGGAGCAGCUUGCGGGUCUCAGGGCACCUCGGUGGCACUGUUGUUGUGCCUUCCUCCACCGUUAGCUGGAAGAGUAAAGAGAAACCCAAGGUUCACGUUUGUCACUAAAACACCCGCUCUUCGAUUAUAUGGAUGUUUCAUGCAUUUGUGAUACAGUUACUUACUGAUGUACCUUUUGGCCAUUUUUAAUCAUCUGCUGUUUAAAAUGCUGCUGCAGUAUUUGUAUAUAUACAUAAUUUCGCUCAAGUGGCUCUGUGUGGAAUAAAUUCUAAAAAUUUCUGGGUCAAAGAGCACACACAUUCAAUCCCAGUCUGGCUGUUCACCACCCGCAGCUGCUGUGCCAACCCAACCCACCAGCGAUGGAGCACCUGCCUCGUGCCCUUAAAGGGAGGGAAAGCAUCUUCUCACAUAUUUAUAAACUGCUUUAUUUCCCCUUCAGUAAAUUAUUAUUUUCAUUAGCCCAUUUUUCUAUUGGUCAGUAUUUUUCAUAAGGAAAACUCUCCGACAUGCUGCAAAUUUUCCUGCCAUUUGAUAUUUUUGUAUUUUUGCCAUUGUGAUAUAAUCAAAUUAAGUGACUUUCAUUUAUGGAGUCUGAUUCAUUCUAAGACAAUCACUCCUGGUUGUGAAAUUUAAAAAACAACAUUGUCCCAUUUUGCUUCUGGGAUUUCUAGUUUUUAAUUACAUCUUUGAUACAACUGGAAUUUCUUUUGAUUACAGAUGCCAAUUUUUCUAUUUGGAUAAUUGUCCCAACAUCGUUUACAUCACUGCUUUUCCAGGAACGAAAUGCCGUCUAUGUUGGUUGUGAACGUGCAUUUGGCACCUGGCAGGGCCAACCCUCAUGGCGUGUGCGUGAACACAUCCCUAAACCAUAGUCUAAUUUAUCCUAUUUUUGUAGUUCAUGUGAGCAGAAUCCAGUGUCUGUGUUCUCGCAUCUGGUUUUCACUCCACGUGUUUGGGGUGUGUGCGUAUCGCUGUGCAUGGUGUGGACUUUCUCCACGUCCCGUGUGCAAACGCCACCCCACCCAGAGGCCACGCCAGGACCCAGGCCUGUGGGCAGUGGUUCCCGGUUUGCCCUUGCAAGGACGCUGUGUCCUCCUGCGUGAGCAUCCCUGCCUCGGGUCUAAUCCUGGGAGUGGAAGGCAGGUCGUGGGUGUGGCUGCAUCCUCAGCUUCUCUGGAUGAUGCCCAGGAACAUGCCCAGAGCCAGAGGGCCCAGCUGCUCGGCUCCCUCACACUGGGCUGGGCACUUGGUCGCCAGCCGUUUGGGGAGUGUGUUCUCAUGGUGGUUUCAGGUGUGAGUCUGACCAACAACCCCCCGUGCCCGCUGGACACUGGAGUUCCUUCCUCUCUGGCGGUGUUUCUCAUCAGGGUUCCCCACCGGCCUACUGCACGCUGCGUCUCUCCUGACCUGUAGGAGUCCCCUACACCUCUGGCUGCUCGACUUUGUUGGUUUAAUGUUUUGCAAAUGUCUUCCUCCAUUUUGUGGUUUGCCUUUUCAUUCUCCUAAUGGAACAUGUUGCUUUACAGAAGCAUCUAGUUUUAACAGAGUCUUGUUUAAGACGGUGUCAACACGCACUGGGCUGGCCUGGUCCCUGAACUCAGGUGUGUUUCCUUUGCAAACUCUAGAGCAGAGAGACAAGGGAGGAAGGACAGAUAGCGGCAGAGUGUGUGGAAAUGUUUUCCAGGAAGGAUGGCUUUGAGUGACAGCAUCAUUUGAGUGACAGCAGUGGUAGGUGGUGUAAUGGAUUCUGAUGUGGUGGGGGUAAGGGGCGCAGCCAAGCUCCGAUUCCUCCUGCUGGGCCCAAGGACCAAGGACUGUGACAGGAAUGCAUAGUCCCUCCUCUGUCCUGCCAGAGGCCAGAGACUUGUGUCCACCACUCUGCCGGGCUGUCUUCAGGAACUUGUUCAGGAGGUGCUGGGGUGCAGGGCACGUCUGAAAGGCAUUUCUGGACACCUGCUGUGGCCUCAUACAGGAGAGUAGGUGACCUGGCCAAGGCCAGCACACAGGACAAGAUUAAGCAUCCAGGGACCCGGGGUCACAGCCCUCACUCCAUUGCAGGGGUGGGGAUGACAGAGGCCAGAGGAGAUCAGACAGGGGCAGCUGUUGAUGGUUCUGAGAUGCAGUUUCUGUCUGAGGGGCCUCCUCCCACUCCUGGCCUGUGCAGAGGGGUGGGUGUGUGGAGGGAAGGUGGGUCUGCCCUGGUCAAACAGCAGAGGCAUUGCCUGUUAGUCUCAUUCCAUUCCGAGUGCCCCCAGGGAGAGUCAGCCACCUUAUGUAGAGAGGCAAGGCCAGAAGGCAGGGGGGGCCUCCCCUCUGGUGACCAACAGGGCCUGUGGUACAAGCAGUGCCGGCUGCUGCCCUCUCUGGCCUUUGUCUCCUUCCAGCCUCUCCGCUAUUAGCAGAGGAGCAGAACACUUGACAGGUGGACACAGGCCACCCCCAACCCCUGGCCCUGGAGGAGGCUCCACAGUGGCCUCCUAGAGCCAGGAGACCGGACUGAGCUGAAUCUGCUGCUCCUGACAGGACCUCACAGGGGGCGCCUUUGAGGACAACCUGAGGUCACUGCACUUGCAGGAGGGCCAGGACUUCCUUCACUUCAGCUGACGGACCCAUGGCAGCUGCUCCCAGUGCAUCCCAGGCCAGCAGGAGCUUUGUGAGCUGCAGGCAUGGCGAUGGUGCGCCUGUUCCACACCCAGCAGGCGCAACCAGAGUCUCGUGUGUGCCGACCACAGGAGCCAAGCCUUUUCCACUGUGUGGACUCAUGUGGCCAAGGCUAGGCCUGGUCACCCAGGACCCUCACCACGUGACCCCAGCCAAUCGGGACAGUUCAAGGAGGAGGAGACCCCUAUUACACAGGUUGGAAUAAAAUAUUUAAAUCUCGU
This 3324-nucleotide long non-coding RNA is filed under the name Homo sapiens (human). RNAcentral's name for it is "non-protein coding lnc-B3GNTL1-2:5". Lineage: Eukaryota; Metazoa; Chordata; Mammalia; Primates; Hominidae. The record is from RNAcentral.